RNAcentral lists this long non-coding RNA (384 nucleotides) under Linum usitatissimum (flax). Its description in RNAcentral is "long non-coding RNA (LUSI_LNC006688)". Lineage: Eukaryota; Viridiplantae; Streptophyta; Magnoliopsida; Malpighiales; Linaceae. The record is from RNAcentral.
UUUAACUCUCUUUUUCUUUAGAUUCGAGCACUACAUCAUAUGUAAAAUCUGAACCUUUUUAUAAUUCGAUUUAAUGAUAUUUAAAAUUAUGUUACCGUACCUAUUUGUCUAGAUUAAGUAAUAUAAGGAAUUUAAUUUUAUUAUUGUUUAUGUGCCAUGUGGAUUCGUCCAAAGAGCUUACUUAACAAACUCUACUGGAAACACCUCGACAUAUGCUCGAAGCCCUAGCCUUAGGGCGGAACAUAUGCGUUACUGUUCAAGGGCCCAUAUCCAUUUGCGGAAGCUUCAUCGUCCGAAUCUCGCCGCGUGCUGGAACUGUGAACAAGUUCAAAGUUUAUGCAUGGACAUUUAACAAAAGGAACAAGACAUGAAUUGUUUUGACUA